CGCACAUUGCGCCCGCCAGUAUUCUGGCGGGCAUGCCUGUUCGAGCGUCAUUUCAACCCUCAAGCCUAGCUUGGUGUUGGACGCGGUCCUAGGACCCGUCCGCAACCCGUUGGCGGUACCGUCCGGCCUCAAGCGUAGCAGAAACCUCGCUUUAUGGGCUCGCGGCGGCGCCUGCCAGAGGAACCACUAAAUUUUUCAAGUUUGACCUCGGAUCAGGUAGGGAUACCCGCUGAACUUAA
RNAcentral lists this unclassified non-coding RNA (239 nucleotides) under fungal sp. Its description in RNAcentral is "partial contains 5.8S ribosomal RNA, internal transcribed spacer 2, and large subunit ribosomal RNA". The record is from RNAcentral. Lineage: Eukaryota; Fungi.